This 28-nucleotide non-coding RNA is filed under the name Rattus norvegicus (Norway rat). The record is from RNAcentral. Lineage: Eukaryota; Metazoa; Chordata; Mammalia; Rodentia; Muridae.
CCCUCACUCUCUCGGCUCCAGCCGACUG